RNAcentral lists this ribosomal RNA (305 nucleotides) under uncultured bacterium. RNAcentral's name for it is "bacterial SSU rRNA". It matches the Rfam family "Bacterial small subunit ribosomal RNA", at positions 333 to 636 of the family's 1533-position model. The record is from RNAcentral.
AUCGACCUACGGGACGCAGCAGUGAGGAAUAUUGGUCAAUGGUCGGGAGACUGAACCAGCCAAGCCGCGUGAGGGAGGGAGGUACAGGGUAUCGUAAACCUCUUUUGUCAGGGAACAAAGACUGGGACGCGUCCCCGGAUGAGUGUACCUGAAGAAAAAGCAUCGGCUAACUCCGUGCCAGCAGCCGCGGUAAUACGGAGGAUGCGAGCGUUAUCCGGAUUUAUUGGGUUUAAAGGGUGCGCAGGCGGUCUGUUAAGUCAGCGGUCAAAGCCCGGGGCUCAACCCCGGCCCGCCGUUGAAACUGG